Molecule: small nuclear RNA, 105 nt
Organism: Suricata suricatta (meerkat)
Lineage: Eukaryota; Metazoa; Chordata; Mammalia; Carnivora; Herpestidae
Source: Ensembl
GUGCCCACUUUGGCAGCACAUUUACUAAAUGGGAUGAUACAGAAAAGAUUAGCAUAGUACCUUUGCAAAGAUGACACAUAAACUCAUGAAGUGCUCCAUGUUGUU